AGAACCUGAAACCUUGUGCCUACAAGCACAUAGAGCACAUCAACGUGUGAUAUGGUACUUUUUGUAGAACGGUCCGGCGAGCGAUUGUAUGUUGCGAGCUUAAGGUCUUAAGGACUGGAGGCGCAGCGAGAGCGAGUCUGAAGAGGGCGUUCAGUAACAUGCAAUGGGCCCGAAACCGGGUGACCUACCCAUGAUCAGGCUGAAGUGAAAGUAAAAUUUCAUGGAGGGCCGAACCGACCUCCGUUGAAAAGGCGGCGGAUGAAUUGUGGGUAGCGGAGAAAUUCCAAUCGAACUCGGAGAUAGCUGGUUCUCCCCGAAAUAGCUUUAGGGCUAGCCUCAUAUUAGAUACCCGGAGGUAAAGCACUGAAUGGCCUAGCGCCCGAGAGGGUAGCGAAGCCUAUCAAACUAAGAAUGCCGGAGUAUUGAUGUAUGGGAGUCAGACAGUGUGAGAUAAAUCUCAUUGUCAAAAGGGAAACAGCCCAGAUCUACAGCUAAGGUCCCAAAUUGUAUCUAAGUGGAAAACGAUGUGGAAAUACGCAGACAACCAGGAUGUUGGCUCAGAAGCAGCCACUCAUUUAAAGAGUGCGUAAUAGCUCACUGGUCGAGCGUCUCUGCGCGGAAAAUUUAACGGGGCUAAGAUACAAACCGAAGCUUAGGCUGCAUCGUAAGAUGCGGGGUAGGGGAGCGUUGUGUAAGCGGAGAAACAGUAGCGUAAGCGGCUGUGGAGUUUACAGAAGUGAGAAUGCCGGAAUGAGUAGCGCGAAUGUGGUGAGAAUCCACAUGGCCGGAAACCUCAGGUUUUUGGAGGAAGGUUCGUCCGCUCCAAGUUAGGCGGGAGCUAAGGUCAGGCCGAAAGGCGUAGCCGAUGCACAGACGGUAGAGAUUCCGUCCCCACCGAAAGAUUUAAGCACAGGGACACUUUUUGAAGGUCGGAGCCAGGUGUUGGUUCUGGUAGUGAUCGAGGGAAAUAUAGUACCGAAGUCCGGCUGGAAGAGAGGCGAGAAAAGCUGUGUGUAUAUCUAAGGUGCCCGUACCGCAAACCGACACAGGUAGGUAGGAAGAAGAUUCUAAGGCCAACGGGAGAAGGGUUGUUAAGGAACUCGGCAAAUUGACCCCGUAACUUCGGGAGAAGGGGUGCUCCAGAGAUGGAGCCGCAGAGAAUCGGCCCAAGCAACUGUUUACCAAAAACACAGGUUUGUGCUAAAUCGAAAGAUGACGUAUACGAGCUGACGCCUGCCCGGUGCUGGAAGGUUAAAAGGAGAUGUGCAAGCAUUGAAUUGAAGCCCCAGUGAACGGCGGCCGUAACUAUAACGGUCCUAAGGUAGCGAAAUUCCUUGUCAGGUAAGUUCUGACCCGCAUGAAAGGCGUAAUGAUUUGGGCACUGUCUCAACAGCCCGCCCGGCGAAAUUGUAGUACCGGUGAAGAUGCCGGUUACCCGCGACAAGACGGAAAGACCCCAUGGAGCUUUACUGUAGCCUGAUAUUGGGUUUCGGUGUUGCAUGCACAGGAUAGAUGGGACACUGGGAAGGCAGUGCUUUGGCAUUGCUGGAGUGGACGUUGGGAUACCAUCCUUGCGACAUUGGAAUUCUAACCUGCGCCUCUGAAUCGAGGCGGGGGACAUUGUCAGGUGGGCAGUUUGACUGGGGCGGUCGCCUCCUAAAAAGUAGCGGAGGCGUUCAAAGGUUCGUUCGAUCUGGACGGAAACCAGAUGAUUGAGUGCAAACGCAUAAACGAGCCUGACUGCGAGACUGACGGGUCGAGCAGAGACGAAAGUCGGAGUUAGUGAUCCGGUGGUAUGUGAGUGGAAAUGCCAUCGCUCAACGGAUAAAAGUUACCCUGGGGAUAACAGGCUGAUCUCCCCCAAGAGUCCACAUCGACGGGGAGGUUUGGCACCUCGAUGUCGGCUCAU
RNAcentral lists this ribosomal RNA (1909 nucleotides) under human gut metagenome. RNAcentral's name for it is "bacterial LSU rRNA". It matches the Rfam family "Bacterial large subunit ribosomal RNA", at positions 545 to 2540 of the family's 2925-position model. The record is from RNAcentral.